AAGAGCACCAUUAACGCAGCAUUUAAUGGGGUGCUUAGACCAAAAGAAUGAUUUAAUUAAAUCAAAAAUAAUAGAAAGGUUAACUUCGAUGCUUAGCUUAGGUUUUUUGGUGAGCAAAUUUUUAGUGGGUUGCAAACCAUGUGUCACCAACCAAUUCGACCGAGUUUUCUUUUUCUUUUUCUUUUCUUUCUUUUCUUUCUUUCUUUCUUUCUUUCUUUCUCUUUCUCGACGAUCUCCUCUGCGUUCUCGGCCGAACCGACGAUCGGAACCGAUGACGACUCUCUUGUCCUCACGGAGUCUCGUCCCACUUGUCUCGUCUUCUCCAUCGGAUCAAGGAUCGAAACCGACGACGGACGACGUCUCUCUGGCUCCUCACGGAGAUUCCUCCGCCUUGUCGGCCUAAACCGAUGAUCGAAACCGAGGACGACUCUGUUGGCUCCUCUGUCGACGACUCUGUCCGUGUUGACGGCAUUGGAAUCUUAUGAAUGUUGAUUGUGGAUUCAGUUUCUGAUUCUCUGAGUUCUCUCUCACUAAAGAGAAUCUUUGUGGAUUCAGUUUUUGCACCUUUGGUUCCGUUGAUUGGUCUUCGAGCUGUAUUGGUGUUGUCUGGUUACGUUGUCACCAACUUGGCCUUUGUAUUUGCUGCUCUCUAUCUCUUCGGAGUUUCAGUUAUUAUCUUGAAGGACAAUGAAGCUUCAUUCUGAGCUUUCUUGUGAGGUUCAAGUAAUGGGAGCAGUCAGGAUUGUACUCAGAGUUGUAUCACGAGUGGUACGAGCUGUAGUUGUCUCCUUCUAUCACAAGUUCUUCUAUCUUUUUUUUUGACCAUAUAUGGCUUCUUCAUCUCAAAACACUGAAUCAUUUGAUGAUGCAUUUGAUCAAAUGUUUGUUAAAAAAUUUGAUCAAAUGUUUGAAAAUUUGACCAUUUCUUUUUUUAAGAACCCAUGAAUAAAAUGCUUGCAUUGGAGGAGAUU
Molecule: RNA transcript, 971 nt
Organism: Raphanus sativus (radish)
Lineage: Eukaryota; Viridiplantae; Streptophyta; Magnoliopsida; Brassicales; Brassicaceae
Exons: 3
Source: RefSeq, a predicted model, not a curated record